UCUAUUCCAGUCAAAGGCAUGUACCUUGGUUGUGGGCACAUCCCCAGUAGGAGUUGUUCCAGUCAAAGGCCAUCUUAGAUGAGACAACAUCUAGCCAAGCCCAGGGCACCUAUAAACACACCAGAGGACUCAAAAUCAACAAAGCUGCUUCCUCUACUUGCAACUGAUUGCAGACAGACUGGCUCUGAAUAAAGAAGGCAAGCAGUCUGCUGUUGUCCAGCAUCAAUUGACGUGUAUACAGGCAGAUGAAACCAAUCAUGAUAACAAAGAAAGAAGAACAUCUUUG
Myotis myotis is the source of this 286-nucleotide long non-coding RNA. RefSeq lists it as uncharacterized. The record is from RefSeq and is a predicted model, not a curated record. Lineage: Eukaryota; Metazoa; Chordata; Mammalia; Chiroptera; Vespertilionidae. The transcript has 3 exons.